This 108-nucleotide microRNA precursor is filed under the name Bigelowiella natans CCMP2755. RNAcentral's name for it is "miRNA EPrBNAG00000013218". The record is from RNAcentral. Lineage: Eukaryota; Cercozoa; Chlorarachniophyceae.
UGAUGAUGAUGCUGACGAUGAUGAUGAUGAUGAUGAUGACGCAGCUCAAUCUUCACUAUAUUAAUGCUGCUUGACGGUUCAUUAUCGCCCUCACCAUCGCUGCAAAAA